Molecule: long non-coding RNA, 744 nt
Organism: Brienomyrus brachyistius
Lineage: Eukaryota; Metazoa; Chordata; Actinopteri; Osteoglossiformes; Mormyridae
Exons: 2
Source: RefSeq, a predicted model, not a curated record
ACAGCACAGACUUGAGUGAGUAUCAUUACUCUCCUGUUACUGUCAACACCUCUGUGGAAGCUAAAGACAAGGGAGACAUCAUUAAACCCCAGUCCUACUCCGGAAGCCUUUCCUACCAGGACUCUGGCUCUCUUUCGCACUGUGGAGGGAUAACAUGGAAUUAGAGAGCGGCACAGGUCCUGCUGCUGGUGGUCAGCGGCCUGCUGAGCUGGUAACCAGCUUAAAGCCUCCUCCUGUGGUGAAGCUCCGCCGCUUCUGGCAUGGAACAGAGCUGAGCCGCGGUCAGACGUGACCAGGCUCAGCCACCUGGAAGUAGCUUCAACUCGCCUCCCAUUCUCAGAGGAUUAGCAAACCAUUCAGGAGGAGACCAAGAGGGUUUGCCGACGCUGCUGGAAAUCCUGACGACGGAGCGCAUGAAAAGCACGGCAGUAGCGCAUGACAAAAAGUCUAACUCUGCAAAGCAUCACAAAGCUUUUUAAUGCCACUUUAUUUCAAGAAAAUCAAAGAAUUAUGUAAAAAGAGUAUUAAUUUCCUCUGCAUAAAAGCGUUCAUUAACAGAGUAUAAUCAAUUACCCACCUAUAUAUUAAGAAUUUUGAGUAAUGCGUACCCUAUGGCCUAAUGUUCAUGUAUUGUAAAAAAGAAAUUUCCAGGUUACUUCUACGUGUUAACAAUAUAGAAGAGACGUCCUUAAAUUCCAUCUGCAGUAAAAGCAUCACAGCUGGCUCACCAUCUGGAUAACUUAA